Molecule: non-coding RNA, 49 nt
Organism: Schistosoma mansoni
Lineage: Eukaryota; Metazoa; Platyhelminthes; Trematoda; Strigeidida; Schistosomatidae
Source: Rfam
AUCCAGUUGACGAGUCCCAAAAUAGGACGAAACACGCAUCAAACUGGAU